GUGGAUUAGAUACCCUGGUAGUCCACGCCGUAAACGUUGGGCACUAGGUGUGGGACUCUAUCGACGGGUUCCGUGCCGUAGCUAACGCAUUAAGUGCCCCGCCUGGGGAGUACGGCCGCAAGGCUAAAACUCAAAGGAAUUGACGGGGGCCCGCACAAGCGGCGGAGCAUGUGGCUUAAUUCGAUGCAACGCGAAGAACCUUACCUGGGUUUGACAUGUAGGGAAAAGCCGUAGAGAUACGGUGUCCUUCGGGGUCCUACACAGGUGGUGCACGGCCGUCGCCAACU
This 287-nucleotide ribosomal RNA is filed under the name uncultured bacterium. Its description in RNAcentral is "partial 16S ribosomal RNA". It matches the Rfam family "Bacterial small subunit ribosomal RNA", at positions 773 to 1060 of the family's 1533-position model. The record is from RNAcentral.